This 253-nucleotide ribosomal RNA is filed under the name uncultured bacterium. RNAcentral describes it as "partial 16S ribosomal RNA". It matches the Rfam family "Bacterial small subunit ribosomal RNA", at positions 524 to 776 of the family's 1533-position model. The record is from RNAcentral.
UACGUAGGGGGCAAGCGUUAUCCGGAUUUAUUGGGUGUAAAGGGUGCGUAGACGGAGAAGCAAGUUAGUUGUGAAAUCCCUCGGCUUAACUGAGGAACUGCAACUAAAACUACUUCCCUUGAGUACUGGAGAGGAAAGUGGAAUUCCUAGUGUAGCGGUGAAAUGCGUAGAUAUUAGGAGGAACACCAGUGGCGAAGGCGACUUUCUGGACAGUAACUGACGUUGAGGCACGAAAGUGUGGGGAGCAAACAGG